AUGAUCAUUUUAGGGACAAUUUCUUAGCAAUCCCUUAUAUCUUUCCCAUGCUUCAUACAAUGACUCCCCUGCUUGUUGCUCAAAAUUGGCUAUAGCUUUCUUAAGCUU
Lactuca sativa (garden lettuce) is the source of this 108-nucleotide small nucleolar RNA. The record is from RefSeq and is a predicted model, not a curated record. NCBI's taxonomy places the organism in Eukaryota, Viridiplantae, Streptophyta, Magnoliopsida, Asterales, Asteraceae.